Molecule: ribosomal RNA, 252 nt
Filed under: uncultured bacterium
Lineage: Bacteria
Description: partial 16S ribosomal RNA
Rfam family: Bacterial small subunit ribosomal RNA
Source: RNAcentral
GACGUAGGGCGCGAGCGUUGUCCGGAUUUAUUGGGCGUAAAGAGCGUGUAGGCGGCUUGGUAGGUCUCGCGUCAAAACCUGAGGCUCAACCUCAGUUCGCGUGGGAAACCACCUAGCUAGAGUCCGGAAGAGGAGAACGGAAUUCCCAGUGUAGCGGUGAAAUGCGCAGAUAUUGGGAAGAACACCAGUGGCGAAGGCGGUUCUCUGGGACGGUACUGACGCUGAGACGCGAAAGCGUGGGGAGCGAACAGG